This 891-nucleotide ribosomal RNA is filed under the name Triticum aestivum (bread wheat). Its description in RNAcentral is "partial small subunit ribosomal RNA". The record is from RNAcentral. Lineage: Eukaryota; Viridiplantae; Streptophyta; Magnoliopsida; Poales; Poaceae.
AUGUGUGGGGGCCUGGGGAUCCAGGUGAGGAAUAAGAGCACCUUCCCGCCCAUGACUUUUCCCGAGUCAGUCAGAGGCUGGCAGUCGACCUGGUUCUAUUGCCAGGACCAGUCGAUGCCGGGGCAGUUGAGUGGACUCCCUCAGUUUACCAUGGACCGAGUGAACAAGCCCUCCUCUCUGAAGUUGAUUCCGGAGGAGAAGGCUGACGUGAAGAUGUUGAUGGAGCGCGUGGUGCAGUUGGUUCGGGAGGGAGUGACGGGCAUGGAUCUCUUGGAGGUCUUCCUUAGGCGUCGUAUCCAGCCCCUUCAGUUCCGGAGCCACUGCAUGUGGUUGUACUGUGGGACUGCAGACGAGACUCGAGUCCAUCCAGAAGCAGUCGACGAUGUCACUCUGGAAAGAUGGAUGGCCGCCAUUACCGGAAACAAGGAUAACCCACGCGGAGCCAGAAGGAUUCCUCCACUCGACCACAACAGUGAUCCAAACAAGGCCCUCACCGAGCUGUACUCGAUGCCCAAUGGAGCACAAGCCCCGACUGAGGAGGGUGAGGCGAGUGGGGGCGAGAGCCAGGAGGAGGAGGAAUGGGACUCGGACGUUGCUGAAGAUGAUGAUGACGAUGAUGAUGAUGACGGUGAUGAAGAUGACGGUGAAGAGGAGGAAGAAGAGGAGGAGGAGGCCGUACCACCGCGCUCAGAAAGGCGGUCGAAGCUUGUCCACGACCCUUCGACUGAACGUGGCAAGGGAGUUGCGACCGCUGCUCAGUCGACCAAGCGCACUCGGACCACCUCUCCGGCGCCGACUGAAAAGGCGCCGAAGCAGCCCAGGGCAGCUCCGUCAAAGGCGACCAAGCUCCUGCCGAAGAUGAAGGUGUCCAUCCCCACCAUAUCAGGGUAA